This 68-nucleotide transfer RNA is filed under the name Acanthodactylus aureus. RNAcentral describes it as "tRNA-Met". Lineage: Eukaryota; Metazoa; Chordata; Lepidosauria; Squamata; Lacertidae. The record is from RNAcentral.
AGUAAAGUCAGCUAAUUAAGCUCUUGGGCCCAUACCCCAAAAAUGUUGGUCAAAACCCUCCUUUACUA